ACCAACCGUACCAUUCCAACCCACAUCAAUGACGCCUCCAAUCUAAACUGUCAAAUAUUCUAUGCACAUCAUGUAAAAUAGGUCUCUUUCCCCUUAUACCUCUGUGCAUCUCGUUUCCGUGGCUACAUGUUUAUGCAAAUGAGAAUUGUCCUUUCUCUCUCAGGUUGAUUGAACACUGAAUUUGUUUUGCACCUUGGCAAUGCAAAGCCAUGCUGUCUUGCCACCUGGUCUACCACAUAAUUGCAAAAAAUUACAUUAUAAUGAUAACUGUCCCCAAAUUAGCCUGAUAACACCAUCUACCUGCCUUGUGAGCGAAAGAAACAGUGUGCAAUAAAGAAGGAUGUUAAAACAGAGUCGAGAUAGGGGAAUAAUGUUUAAUUGGCUCUCCAGAGUCUACUAAUUUUCAGAAUUGGAAACCUAGUGUUUGAUUUGUUCUUUUUAGUCAGUGAGAAGAAAAAAUAUCCUUCAUAAAUUCUGAAUGACAAAUUUGCCCAUCCUUUUUUGCAUGUGGUUCCAGCAUCCCAGGGAAUCUAAAGUGUCAUUUCCUCUCUGGAAGAAAGGAAGCACAAAACAAGCUAGUGACAUCUCAUGUCCAGAAUCUCCACAGAACAUCUGUGUAGGUGCUUGUAUUGGAG
RNAcentral lists this long non-coding RNA (635 nucleotides) under Felis catus (domestic cat). Its description in RNAcentral is "lncRNA (ENSFCAG00000045415.2)". The record is from RNAcentral. Lineage: Eukaryota; Metazoa; Chordata; Mammalia; Carnivora; Felidae.